AAUCAGGAGGCGCUGGAACACAAAGCGAGCGCUAGUGCAGGGUGACCUGGGGGGGAUCUGAGGUACCGUUGUGGUGAUCCUGACGGCUAGAUGGAGUUCAACUAUGGACAGAAUUAACUUUACGUAGCAGGUAAGGAGAACUAACGCAGCAGGUAAUGAGAACUAACGCAGCAGGCAAUGAGAACUAAUGCAGCAGGUAAGGAGAACUAACGCAGCAGGCAAUGAGAACUAACGCAGCAGGUAAGGAGAACUAACGCAGCAGGAUAGGAGAACUAACGCAGCAGGUAAGGAGAACGAACGCAGCAGGCUAGGAGAACUAACGCAGCAGGUAAGGAGAACUAAACACAGCAGGUAAUGAGAACUAACGCAGCAGGUAAUGAGAACUAACGCAGCAGGUAAGGAGAACGAACGCAGCAGGUAAGGAGAACUAACGCAGCAGGUAAGGAGAACUAAACACAGCAGGUAAGGAGAACUAACGCAGCAGGUAAGGAGAACUAACGCAGCAGGCAAGGAGAACUAACGCAGCAGGUAAGGAGAACUAACGCAGCAGGUAAGGAGAACUAACGCAGCAGGUAAGGGGAACUAACGCAGCAGGUAAGGGGAACUAACGCGGCAGGUAAGGAGAACUAACGCGGCAGGUAAGGAGAACUAACGCGGCAGGUAAGGGGAACUAACGCAGCAGGUAAGGAGAACUAACGCAGCAGGCAAGGAGAACUAACGCAGCAGGCAAGGAGAACUAAUGCAGCAGGUAAGGAGAACUAACGCAGCAGGCAAGGAGACCUAACGCAGCAGGCAAGGAGACCUAACGCAGCAGGCAAGGAGAACUAACGCAGCAGGUAAGGAGAACUAAUGCAGCAGGCAAGGAGAACUAAUGCAGCAGGUAAGGAGAACUAACGCAGCAGGUAAGGAGACCUAACGCAGCAGGCAAGGAUAACUAACGCAGCAGGUAAGGAGUACUAACGCGGCAGGUAAGGAGAACUAACGCAGCAGGUAAGGGGAACUAACGCAGCAGGUAAGGAGAACUAACGCAGCAGGCAAGGAGAACUAACGCAGCAGGCAAGGAGAACUAAUGCAGCAGGUAAGGAGAACUAACGCAGCAGGUAAGGAUAACUAACGCAGCAGGUAAGGAGAACUAACGCAGCAGGCAAGGAUAACUAACGCAGCAGGUAAGGAGAACUAACGCAGCAGGUAAGGAGAACUAACGCAGCAGGUAAGGAGAACUAACGCAGCAGGUAAGGAGAACUAAUGCAGCAGGUAAGGAGAACUAAUGCAGCAGGUAAGGAGAACUAACGCAGCAGGUAAGGAGAACUAAUGCAGCAGGUAAGGAGAACUAAUGCAGCAGGUAAGGAGAACUAACGCAGCAGGUAAGGAGAACUAAUGCAGCAGGUAAGGAGAACUAAUGCAGCAGGUAAGGAGAACUAACGCAGCAGGUAAGGAGAACUAACGCAGCAGGUAAGGAGAACUAACGCAGCAGGUAAGGAGUACUAAUGCAGCAGGUAAGGAGAACUAACACAGCAGGUAAGGAGAACUAAUGCAGCAGGUAAGGAGACCUAACGCAGCAGGAUAGGAGGCAUUUAAAAAAAAUCUACUUUCACUACCCUUCAAGAAUUGAAUUCCCUCUUCACAUCAUGAACAUUUUCAACUGUAAAAUAUUUUACUGCUAACAGUUGUCCCCAAU
Molecule: long non-coding RNA, 1678 nt
Organism: Oncorhynchus keta (chum salmon)
Lineage: Eukaryota; Metazoa; Chordata; Actinopteri; Salmoniformes; Salmonidae
Exons: 3
Source: RefSeq, a predicted model, not a curated record